This 495-nucleotide ribosomal RNA is filed under the name uncultured bacterium. RNAcentral's name for it is "partial 16S ribosomal RNA". It matches the Rfam family "Bacterial small subunit ribosomal RNA", at positions 28 to 507 of the family's 1533-position model. The record is from RNAcentral.
GACGAACGCUGGCGGCGUGCCUAAUACAUGCAAGUAGAACGCUGAAGGAGGAGCUUGCUUCUCUGGAUGAGUUGCGAACGGGUGAGUAACGCGUAGGUAACCUGCCUGGUAGCGGGGGAUAACUAUUGGAAACGAUAGCUAAUACCGCAUAAUAGUAGAUGUUGCAUGACAUUUGCUUAAAAGGUUCAAUUGCAUCACUACCAGAUGGCCCUGCGUUGUAUUAGCUAGUUGGUGGGGUAACGGCUCACCAAGGCGACGAUACAUAGCCGAACUGGGAGGGGGGUCAGCCACACUGGGACGGAGACACGGCCCAGACUCCUACGGGAGGCAGCAGUAGGGAAUCUGCGGCAAUGGACGGAAGUCUGACCGAGCAACGCCGCGUGAGUGAAGAAGGUUUUCGGAUCGUAAAGCUCUGUUGUAAGAGAAGAACGAGUGUGAGAGUGGAAAGUUCACACUGUGACGGUAUCUGACCAGAAAGGGACGGCUAACUACGUG